Molecule: long non-coding RNA, 1709 nt
Organism: Hordeum vulgare subsp. vulgare (domesticated barley)
Lineage: Eukaryota; Viridiplantae; Streptophyta; Magnoliopsida; Poales; Poaceae
Exons: 4
Source: RefSeq, a predicted model, not a curated record
GAUGAGGAAUAGAAGGCUGUCGACCUCGUUGUCGGUGCCACCACCAACCCCGUCCCUCCUCGCCGAAGCAACCCCGAGGCCGCAUCGCAUCCGCCCGACCGCAGAGGCCCCGCUCCCCUCCCUAUGCAUUUCUAGAUCCCUCCCCUCCCCUAGCAGCGCAGCGCACCACCGGGGCCAGGUGACGGUGGUGCCCCGGCUCCUGCGGGCCACUGUCGCCCCGCAUUGGGGCUGCAAGGGCAGAGAUAUGAGGCGGAGUGGGGGGCUUCGGGAGGUUGGGAUGGGGCGCCAGAGUGGCCCGGGGAUCUGCGCAGUGGCACCGCUUUGCCUUGCCGCGGUCGCCAUGGGAGAUCUCGAUCCCGACAGCCUCGAGCGUGCAUUAGUCCUGAAUCCGUCCCUGUUUUUCUGUGCAAGUCUGCUUUCUCGGUCGGUCGACACUGUUGAUUGGGGAGACAUUUGGUUAUUUGCCACUUUUAAUACGGGGCUUCGCAAAAAUGCCACUGUCAAGAUUGAUUUCGUAAAAAUGCCAUCCAGCUCGUGUGCACUUCGAUUAACAUGCCAUUUUUAUUUUUCCCAUUGUUUUUAUUUUUUAUUUUUUAUUUUCUAACUCCUGAAAGGACCAAAGUGCCCUUGAAUCUUUGAACCUUAUUCGAUGGGUUUGCGGGCUGGUUGGAUGGAUUGCUGAGCCUACCUCAUCCUUGUUGAUCGUGCUUGCCCGAGCCACCUUAGCUCGAGCACGCCCAUGGAAGCAAACCACAGGUCACCGCCGUCUCUCGUCAACACCUGCGUGCACCAUCGCAGCUUGCCUUACCACAUCCAUGGAAGCAACCGCAGGUCGCCGUCAGUACGCGCCCAUGCCUGCUUGCGCCGGCGCAGCUCACCCACGCCUUGUUGAUGCAUGCGCGAGCAACUCAAGCUCGCCGGCGGUGCUUGUGCACGUCUGCACGUGCUGGCGCAGCCUCGCGGAUGCCUGCACGAGACACCGCAGCUCGCCGCCGGUGCUCACCCUCCCCUACAUGCGUUGGCUCAGCUCGUCUUGAGAGCCAAGACAUGCGAGGGCGUCGCAUAACAGCACCACCAGUGGCGUGAUGGUAGCACCAGCUAAAGGAGGAGGUGGAUGUGUGUGCAUGUUCUGAAGAUGGAUAUGCAAGGAACCUGUCGCCGGUGGACUAUCGGAGCAACACGAUCAAGAGGUUGAUCGGGCUUCCCGGCGACUGGAUCAGCGUCACGGAGAAGGAGGAGAUCCGCAAGAUUCUGGAGAGCCACUGCUGGGUCGACGGGGACAAUGGCAGCGCGAGCUGGGACUCUAGAUCCUACGGCCCUGACCUCCUGGUGGUUACCCGUGGCCGACAACAACCACGACCAAGAUACGAAAAAAUGAACAUCUCCCUGACUUGCUGAAGCUCGACAGCGGCCUUCCCGUAUCGAGGCUAUAUCAGAUGUUGGCCUUCAUUCCCAAAAGUUGGGUGUACAGGUGCUUUAGGAACAAGAAAACCCACUCCUACCAAUGCCGUUUAGCUCACUGGAAGAAGAAAACCCACUCCCACCAAUGCCGUUUAGCUCACUCGAGCUAGUUAUGUGUAUAUUUAGUUGUAUUUUAUAGCUGAAUACCAGAUUUGUAUGAUGUAUGAUUGUAAUGUACUUUUCUUGGUUGUUGUACGAAAUAUUAUGCCCUAUUGGCUCUUUUUGAAUCAAAUUAUCUAAUUGCAUAA